Molecule: ribosomal RNA, 253 nt
Filed under: uncultured prokaryote
Description: partial 16S ribosomal RNA
Rfam family: Bacterial small subunit ribosomal RNA
Source: RNAcentral
UACGUAGGGGGCAAGCGUUAUCCGGAUUUACUGGGUGUAAAGGGAGUGUAGGCGGCGAUGUAAGUCAGAAGUGAAAACCCAGGGCUCAACCCUGGGACUGCUUUUGAAACUACAUUGCUAGAGUGCAGGAGAGGUAAGUGGAAUUCCUAGUGUAGCGGUGAAAUGCGUAGAUAUUAGGAGGAACACCAGUGGCGAAGGCGGCUUACUGGACUGUAACUGACGCUGAGGCUCGAAAGCGUGGGGAGCAAACAGG